RNAcentral lists this ribosomal RNA (274 nucleotides) under uncultured bacterium. Its description in RNAcentral is "partial 16S ribosomal RNA". It matches the Rfam family "Bacterial small subunit ribosomal RNA", at positions 523 to 796 of the family's 1533-position model. The record is from RNAcentral.
ACACGGGGGGCGCAAGCGUUAUUGGGAAUUAUUGGGCGUAAAGGGCGCGUAGGCGGUCUUGUCGGUCAGAUGUGAAAGCCCAGGGCUCAACCUUGGACGUGCAUUUGAAACAGCAAGACUUGAGUACGGGAGAGGAAAGCGGAAUUCCUGGUGUAGAGGUGAAAUUCGUAGAUAUCAGGAGGAACACCGAUGGCGAAGGCAGCUUUCUGGACCGAUACUGACGCUGAGGCGCAAAGGCGUGGGUAGCGAACAGGAUUAGAAACCCCAGUAGUCC